GAACGCUGGCGGCGUGCUUAACACAUGCAAGUCGAACGGAAAGGCCCUGCUUUUGUGGGGUGCUCGAGUGGCGAACGGGUGAGUAACACGUGAGUAACCUGCCCUUGACUUUGGGAUAACUUCAGGAAACUGGGGCUAAUACCGGAUAGGAGCUCCUGCUGCAUGGUGGGGGUUGGAAAGUUUCGGCGGUUGGGGAUGGACUCGCGGCUUAUCAGCUUGUUGGUGGGGUAGUGGCUUACCAAGGCUUUGACGGGUAGCCGGCCUGAGAGGGUGACCGGCCACAUUGGGACUGAGAUACGGCCCAGACUCCUACGGGAGGCAGCAGUGGGGAAUAUUGCACAAUGGGCGGAAGCCUGAUGCAGCAACGCCGCGUGCGGGAUGACAGCCUUCGGGUUGUAAACCGCUUUCGCCUGUGACGAAGCGUGAGUGACGGUAAUGGGUAAAGAAGCACCGGCUAACUACGUG
RNAcentral lists this ribosomal RNA (465 nucleotides) under uncultured bacterium. Its description in RNAcentral is "partial 16S ribosomal RNA". It matches the Rfam family "Bacterial small subunit ribosomal RNA", at positions 31 to 507 of the family's 1533-position model. The record is from RNAcentral.